This 253-nucleotide ribosomal RNA is filed under the name uncultured bacterium. RNAcentral's name for it is "partial 16S ribosomal RNA". It matches the Rfam family "Bacterial small subunit ribosomal RNA", at positions 524 to 776 of the family's 1533-position model. The record is from RNAcentral.
UACAGAGGUCCCGAGCGUUGUUCGGAUUCACUGGGCGUAAAGGGUGCGUAGGCGGUUCUGCAAGUCUGAUGUGAAAUCUCCAGGCCCAACCUGGAAACGGCAUUAGAAACUACAAGGCUAGAGGCUUGGAGGGGGGACUGGAAUGCUCGGUGUAGCAGUGAAAUGCGUAGAGAUCGAGCGGAACACCAGUGGCGAAGGCGAGUUCCUGGACAAGUCCUGACGCUGAGGCACGAAAGCGUGGGGAGCAAACGGG